Molecule: ribosomal RNA, 253 nt
Filed under: uncultured microorganism
Description: partial 16S ribosomal RNA
Rfam family: Bacterial small subunit ribosomal RNA
Source: RNAcentral
UACGGAGGGUGCGAGCGUUAUUCGGAAUCACUGGGCGUAAAGCGCGCGUAGGCGGGUUGACAAGUCAGGUGUGAAAUCCCACGGCUCAACCGUGGAAUUGCACUUGAUACUGUUGACCUAGAGUCUGGCAGAGGGUGGUGGAAUUCCCAGUGUAGAGGUGAAAUUCGUAGAUAUUGGGAGGAACACCAGAGGCGAAGGCAGCCCCCUGGGCCUGUACUGACGCUCAUGCACGAAAGCGUGGGGAGCAAACAGG